UACGGAGGGGACUAGCGUUGUUCGGAAUUACUGGGCGUAAAGCGCACGUAGGCGGAUUUGUAAGUCGGGUGUGAAAGCCCGGGGCUCAACUCCAGAACUGCCUUCGAUACUGAGAGUCUCGAGUCCGGGAGAGGUGAGUGGAACUGCGAGUGUAGAGGUGAAAUUCGUAGAUAUUCGCAAGAACACCAGUGGCGAAGGCGGCUCACUGGCCCGGUACUGACGCUGAGACGCGAAAGCGUGGGGAGCGAACAGG
RNAcentral lists this ribosomal RNA (253 nucleotides) under uncultured bacterium. RNAcentral describes it as "partial 16S ribosomal RNA". It matches the Rfam family "Bacterial small subunit ribosomal RNA", at positions 524 to 776 of the family's 1533-position model. The record is from RNAcentral.